RNAcentral lists this ribosomal RNA (433 nucleotides) under uncultured Lachnospiraceae bacterium. Its description in RNAcentral is "partial 16S ribosomal RNA". It matches the Rfam family "Bacterial small subunit ribosomal RNA", at positions 341 to 791 of the family's 1533-position model. Lineage: Bacteria; Bacillati; Bacillota; Clostridia; Lachnospirales; Lachnospiraceae. The record is from RNAcentral.
ACGGGAGGCAGCAGUGGGGAAUAUUGGACAAUGGGGGAAACCCUGAUCCAGCGACGCCGCGUGAGUGAAGAAGUAUUUCGGUAUGUAAAGCUCUUUAAGCUGGAAAGAAAAUGACGGUACCAGCAGAAUAAGUCCCGGCUAACUACGUGCCAGCAGCCGCGGUAAUACGUAGGGGACAAGCGUUAUCCGGAUUUACUGGGUGUAAAGGGAGCGUAGACGGCAAUGCAAGUCUGAAGUGAAAGCCCGCGGCUUAACUGCGGAACUGCUUUGGAAACUGUAUAGCUAGAGUGUCGGAGAGGUGAGUGGAAUUCCUAGUGUAGCGGUGAAAUGCGUAGAUAUUAGGAAGAACACCGGUGGCGAAGGCGGCUCACUGGACGAUAACUGACGUUGAGGCUCGAAAGCGUGGGGAGCAAACAGGAUUAGAUACCCUGGU